UUGGGCUUUCGCUCUACACCCUUUGUGACAUACCUAUAACUGUUGCUUCGGCGGGCAGGGUCUCCGUGACCCUCCCGGCCUCCCGCCCCCGGGCGGGUCGGCGCCCGCCGGAGGAUAACCAAACUCUGAUUUAACGACGUUUCUUCUGAGUGGUACAAGCAAAUAAUCAAAACUUUUAACAACGGAUCUCUUGGUUCUGGCAUCGAUGAAGAACGCAGCGAAAUGCGAUAAGUAAUGUGAAUUGCAGAAUUCAGUGAAUCAUCGAAUCUUUGAACGCACAUUGCGCCCGCCAGCAUUCUGGCGGGCAUGCCUGUUCGAGCGUCAUUUCAACCCUCAAGCUCUGCUUGGUGUUGGGGCCCUACAGCUGAUGUAGGCCCUCAAAGGUAGUGGCGGACCCUCCCGGAGCCUCCUUUGCGUAGUAACUUUACGUCUCGCACUGGGAUCCGGAGGGACUCUUGCCGUAAAACCCCCAAUUUUCCAAAGGUUGACCUCGGAUCAGGUAGGAAUACCCGCUGAACUUAAGCAUAUCAAAAGCCGGAGGAA
Molecule: ribosomal RNA, 543 nt
Filed under: Colletotrichum gloeosporioides
Lineage: Eukaryota; Fungi; Ascomycota; Sordariomycetes; Glomerellales; Glomerellaceae
Description: eukaryotic LSU rRNA
Rfam family: 5.8S ribosomal RNA (bases 171-324)
Source: RNAcentral